RNAcentral lists this ribosomal RNA (230 nucleotides) under uncultured bacterium. Its description in RNAcentral is "partial 16S ribosomal RNA". It matches the Rfam family "Bacterial small subunit ribosomal RNA", at positions 111 to 334 of the family's 1533-position model. The record is from RNAcentral.
UAAUACAUAAGUAACCUGCCCUAGACAGGGGGAUAGCUAUUGGAAACGAUAGCUAAGACCGCAUAGGUACGGACACUGCAUGGUGACCGUAUUAAAAGUGCCUCAAAGCACUGGUAGAGGAUGGACUUAUGGCGCAUUAGCUGGUUGGCGGGGUAACGGCCCACCAAGGCGACGAUGCGUAGCCGACCUGAGAGGGUGACCGGCCACACUGGGACUGAGACACGGCCCAG